RNAcentral lists this transfer RNA (29 nucleotides) under uncultured Treponema sp. RNAcentral's name for it is "partial tRNA-Ile". Lineage: Bacteria; Pseudomonadati; Spirochaetota; Spirochaetia; Treponematales; Treponemataceae. The record is from RNAcentral.
GGGCCCGUAGCUCAGUUGGUUAGAGCACU